CAAAUGAAUUGACGGGGCCCGCACAAGCGGUGGAGCAUGUGGUUAAUUCGAUGCAACGCGAAGAACCUUACCUGGGCUUGACAUCCCGAGAAUCCCCUGGAAACAGGGGAGUGCCUUUCGGGGAACUCGGAGACAGGUGCUGCAUGGCUGUCGUCAGCUCGUGUCGUGAGAUGUUGGGUUAAGUCCCGCAACGAGCGCAACCCUUGUCUUUAAUUGCCAGCAUUCAGUUGGGGCACUUUAAAGAGACUGCCGGUGUUAAGCCGGAGGAAGUGGGGAUGACGUCAAGUCCUCAUGGCCUUUAUGGCCAGGGCUACACACGUACUACAAUGGCCGGUACAAAGGGCAGCGACAUUGCGAGAUGGAGCGAAUCCCGAAAAGCCGGUCUCAGUCCGGAUUGGAGUCUGCAACUCGACUCCAUGAAGUUGGAAUCGCUAGUAAUCGUGGAUCAGCAUGCCCACGGUCGAAUACGUUCCGGGCCUU
Molecule: ribosomal RNA, 480 nt
Filed under: uncultured Syntrophus sp.
Lineage: Bacteria; Pseudomonadati; Thermodesulfobacteriota; Syntrophia; Syntrophales; Syntrophaceae
Description: bacterial SSU rRNA
Rfam family: Bacterial small subunit ribosomal RNA
Source: RNAcentral